This 2233-nucleotide long non-coding RNA is filed under the name Elaeis guineensis (African oil palm). Its description in RNAcentral is "long non-coding RNA (EGUI_LNC010747)". Lineage: Eukaryota; Viridiplantae; Streptophyta; Magnoliopsida; Arecales; Arecaceae. The record is from RNAcentral.
UUGAAAUUAACAUACAGCUUUUAGUAGCCAUCAUCAUAGGAUUCACCAAAAUUACAUCUCUCUUUUUGAUUGGUGUUUAUCUUGUUCACGAGGCCCUUCGCUUGUUGAUUUGCAUUCAUCAAAGCAUGCUUGAAGUGCCCUCUUUAUCAUAAAGUCCAUAUAGAGAUUUUGUGCUUUCACUCUCCUUUCGACGAGUUCCUCUAUCUGCCGGUUGUAUAUAAAAAGCCAAUAUAGAAGUUAGCAGACAUGCCAAUUAUGCAUCAUACAAGUUAACCAAGGAGUGGGUGCUAGUUGUAUUGCUGAAUCUGUAUCAUAAAUUGCUAAGCUCCAGAUAGUUUGAAAAGAUAUAAAGAUGCACUAAAACCUCUUAAAGUAUAAGGGUAAGAGAAUUCAUGAAAUUAUCAUAUAGAAGAUAACCUUGAUAUUUUGGAGGCAUAAACAUUAAUUCCCAAUCUCUUCCCAUUUUAACCAAGAUGAAAUCAAGCUGAAGAUUUUGAUGUCCAGAAUGCUCCGGGCUUGAAUUCGGAUAUUGGAAACUAAAAUUCUCCCAACUCAAGGAUUUGCCUGCACAAGAAAUAGUAACUCCUACUAAAGAGAGAGAUUAACCUAAGCCAACCAAGUGCUUUUGUAGAAGAGUUGGAGAUUCCAUGUGGCCAUGUAAGAGCUAGCGUUGCCACGUUUUUGGAAACAAUACUAAAGUGUGCGAGCCUAUGUCUCUUUCAAUGCGUUGUAGAGGAUUUCUUCAGCAAAAUGGCUUGAGAGGUUGGGUCAUUUGGUCCUCUUUUGGGCUCCUUCUGUCGAGCCACGAGGAGCUCAGUAAUUCAGGUGGUGUGGGCCGGCUAGUGCUUUAUUGUUAGCAUAGCAAGCAAACCAUCCACACACACACACACACACAGUACCAUGAAGCCAGAACUAGUUGUUUUUUUUUUUGUUGGUAGAUUACUAAAUCUAGAUUGGGAACAACUAUGAUUUUUACGUGAGUAUAUUUAAAUAUGGUUGCCGGAUUAAUGCCAUUCUUGAAAUUUAAGUGUGUAUCAUGGCAGUGUCGGUAUCGCAAGAAUAUUUCAUGACCUUGUAGAAGGCUAUGGAUUCCUAAAAUAAGAAAAGAGAUUAUAAUUAAGUCUAUUUUGUUGAAAUUAUCACCAAUCAUUGUUUUACCAUUCAAAUGAUAUCUCAAUCUUGGUUCUUAUAUAUCAACUAAGUCUUGAGAAAUUUCUGACCCUUUUAAAAUUUCAUUUCCCUUUUUCCCCAGGGGUCUUAAAGGCAUAUUAUCAGCUACUUAUUAGGAUGACUAAUAUAUCAACCUAUAAUCUUAUUUUAUGGAAAGACAAGUAUUUUGAUAAAAAAUACAUAUUGGUGAGAUUAGAAAUUUCUUAGAAUUAGUCGCUCAAUACAUUCCUAAGACAGAAGCUUACUAGCAGUCAAAAUUAGAUGGACCUCUUUCUAAACAAUUCUAGGACUUUUAGUUUUCAUUUUAAAGAAAAUCUUAUUUUAUGGAAAGACAAGUAUUUUGAUAAAAAAUAUGUAGAAAGGAUACAUGCUUAAUAAUUGGUGAGAUUAGAAAUUUCUUAGAAUUAGUCGUUCAAUACAUCCCUAAGACAGAAACUUACUAGCAGUCAAAAUUAGAUGGACUUCUUUCUAAACAAUUCUCGGACUUUUAGUUUUUCAUUUUAAAGAAAAUAUUGUGAUCAAAAUCGAACGAGCUCUAAAUUUAUUUUCUAGAAGAAGAAAAGGGAUGAACAAAACAUAAAUUGAGAAUGUUUUAACUACUUUUGUGAUGUGCACUAUAUAACUAGUAAGAACCAUGAUGCACAAUGAGAUUGAUAUGUCGAGAAAGUAGGCCCAUCUGAUCUGAUUCAUGGUGAGAUGUACUAUAUUUAAGGGAAUUGUGGGGUGAAUUGCAUGCCUGCCGGUGUAUGUUAUAUAAGUGGCCGUGGGUAGGACCUCGUAUAAUUAUGCACCCUGGAGUUUUCUCUCAUAAUUAUGGCAGGAUAGUGGGAAGCAUAGGUGCCCAUGGACCUCAAACAUCGGUGAUAGACCUCCUUAUUAAAAUCCCUCUUUUCACAAGCUCUUAAGAACUACAAGUCAUCUAAUUAAGGGUAAGAAAUAUUAUCUUAAAAAUAAAAUGAAAGGCUAGCUAUUUUAGCAAAACAAAAGUUACCUUUUCUCGCUCCUCCAUAUGAACUCUUUCAUCCUCAUUAGAGUGAGGAUGCUUCGAAGAAGAACCCUUCUC